This 1358-nucleotide ribosomal RNA is filed under the name uncultured Bacteroidales bacterium. RNAcentral's name for it is "bacterial SSU rRNA". It matches the Rfam family "Bacterial small subunit ribosomal RNA", at positions 28 to 1380 of the family's 1533-position model. The record is from RNAcentral. Lineage: Bacteria; Pseudomonadati; Bacteroidota; Bacteroidia; Bacteroidales.
GAUGAACGCUGGCGGCAGGCCUAACACAUGCAAGUCGAGGGGCAUCGCGGAUAGCAAUAUCUGGCGGCGACCGGCGCACGGGUGAGCAACACGUAUGCAACCAACCUUUCGCUGGGGGAUACUCCGGAGAAAUUCGGAACAAUACCCCGUAACACUGCGGGACGGCAUCGUUCUACAGUCAGAGGAGCAAUCCGGCGGAAGACGGGCAUGCGGAUCAUUAGUUAGUUGGCGGGGUAAAGGCCCACCAAGACCACGAUGAUUAGGGGUUCCGGGAGGAAAAACCCCCACACCGGGACUGAGACACGGCCCGGACUCCUACGGGAGGCAGCAGUGAGGAAUAUUGGUCAAUGGUCGGAAGACUGAACCAGCCAUGCCGCGUGCGGGAAGAAGGCCCAACGGGUUUUAAACCGCUUUUGCAGUCGAGCAAUAAGGACUACGUGUAGUCCGACGAGAGUAGAUUGUGAAUAAGCAUCGGCUAACUCCGUGCCAGCAGCCGCGGUAAUACGGAGGAUGCAAGCGUUAUCCGGAUUCAUUGGGUUUAAAGGGUGCGCAGGCGGUUUCAAAGGUCGGCGCGCAAAGACCGGAGCUUAACUCCGGGACAGGCGUCGAAACCGUGAGACUUGAAUUCGGGCAAAGCCGGAGGAAUGUGCGGUGUAGCGGUGAAAUGCAUAGAUAUCGCACAGAAGACCGAUUGCGAAGGCAUCCGGCCGGUCCGAGAUUGACGCUGAGGCACGAAAGCGCGGGGAUCAAACAGGAUUAGAUACCCUGGUAGUCCGCGCCGUAAACGAUGAUAACUCGCCGUCGGAUCCAAGCGGUUCGGUGGCCAAGCGAAAGCGUUAAGUUAUCCACCUGGGGAGUACGGCCGCAAGGCUGAAACUCAAAGGAAUUGACGGGGGCCCGCACAAGCGGAGGAACAUGUGGUUUAAUUCGAUGAUACGCGAGGAACCUUACCCGGGCUCGAACGGAGGCUGAAGAUGGUGGAAACAUCAUCGUCCCGCAAGGGACAGACUUCGAGGUGCUGCAUGGUUGUCGUCAGCUCGUGCCGUGAGGUGUCGGCUCAAGUGCCAUAACGAGCGCAACCCCCGUCGUCGGUUGCCAGCGGAUAAAGCCGGGGACUCCGACGAAACUGCCCGCGCAAGCGGAGAGGAAGGGGGGGAUGACGUCAAAUCAGCACGGCCCUUACGUCCGGGGCGACACACGUGUUACAAUGGGCGGUACAGAGGGCAGCGACGUCGCGAGGCGAAGCGAAUCCCGAAAGCCGCUCCCGGUUCGGAUCGGAGUCUGCAACUCGACUCCGUGAAGCCGGAUUCGCUAGUAAUCGCGCAUCAGCCACGGCGCGGUGAAUACGUUCCCGGGCC